This 84-nucleotide transfer RNA is filed under the name candidate division CPR1 bacterium ADurb.Bin160. RNAcentral describes it as "tRNA-Leu". It matches the Rfam family "tRNA". Rfam says of the family: Transfer RNA (tRNA) molecules are approximately 80 nucleotides in length. Lineage: Bacteria; candidate division CPR1. The record is from RNAcentral.
UGCUCAGGUGGUGGAAUUGGUAUACACAUACGCUUGAGGUGCGUAUGCCGUAAGGCUUGGGGGUUCGAGUCCCCUCUUGAGCAA